This 1559-nucleotide long non-coding RNA is filed under the name Helianthus annuus (common sunflower). RNAcentral's name for it is "hypothetical non coding rna". Lineage: Eukaryota; Viridiplantae; Streptophyta; Magnoliopsida; Asterales; Asteraceae. The record is from RNAcentral.
GAUGUGUGUGUGCGUGACUUCGAUCAGGAGAAAGAACAGAAGGAUGAACCCUAGCUCUUAAGAACAUCAACACAAAUUCAGCCCAAUCAGAGCAAAAAUCGAAUGGAAAAUCAUGCAUGAAUGAAGAAUUAGCAUCACCUAACAUUAACAAACAUGUGCUUGAAAGAAUAAGAACCAUGUCAAGAUGGACCAUAUCAUGGGAGGCAAACGGGUCAAAGAGGAGGCAAAGAAACUAGCAUAAACAUGGCGAGCACAAGGUAAGUGACUUCCGACUCACUUCUUAGUAUGCAUAUAGAGUUUUUUAUGUUUAUGAAUGUGGAGGAAAUUAUGUAAGGUUAUGAAAUAAUGUAAGUUUUAAGAUAAAGUAUUGAUCUAGUUAGAUGAGGGUAGAUAUGUAAGUCGAAGGUAUUUUGAUGUGAAUACACGGGUUGAAUAAGCAUGUAUAAGUAAGGUAGCGGUAAUGAAAUUCGUGAGGAUUAAGGACCCGGGGCAAGGAUUCUUAGUCUAAUAUGUAGGGAAAUGUUUUACGGACAAUUAGAAAUAAGUUUCAAGUGAAACGGACGCAAAACGAGCAAGUAAUGCGAGUUUUAGUUUUUAAAUGGUAGGCUGAACUGGGCUCUAUCGUAGCUUACGGUAGCCACCGUAAGCUACGGUAGGUUCUGGGCCUUUCUUCCUGCCGUAAGGCAGUAGAUAUGUACCGUAAGGGUUUGUGGCCACCGUAAGCUACGGUAGCCACCGUAGCUUACGGUGGAGGUCAGGUGCACUUAUAAGAUUUCGUAAUCAUUCGUUUUUCCUUCGAGUUCGGGCCCCGUGAACCCAUUCCAAGCCUUGAUAAGUUUUUAUAAUGCACCUCAACCCUACCAAAGGGCUUGGCAAGUUAAGGGUGCGAAUGGAACUCAUUCUCAAAGAUCUGAAGCAUACCCGAAUGAUAUUUUAAAAGUAUUAUUGAUGUGUGAGUAGUAACGGGAUACGCGAGUGAGUAUGCGGGGCUAUGAAUUAAGUACGUGGGUACGUAUGUGUGUAUGUAUGUAUAGUUUUCACUAGUGAGGGUAUGCAUGGGUAUAGUUAUGAUUCGUUUUAUAUGUGGAUGCAUGUAAGUAGGUAUAAAUGUAUGCUAGUAGGCAUGUAAGUAUGUUCAUGGGUUUUCAAUACGACUGAGUAGUGAUGCUAUUAACAGUGUACCUUGAGAAUAAAGUAUAAUGCAGGUACAAUGUUGUAAUCUCACCAUGGAAAUGGAUACUCAGACGGAAGCGCCUUACAAAGAGGAAUGACGGAAUGGAAAGUAAUAGAGUAUGAAUCUUGAUACGUUUAUAAAGUGUACUAACGUGUGAAUUGGUAUGGUGAGUGUAGGUUGUACGAGGCACGGAGUAUCACUAAGGAGUGAAGAUCAAGGAUCGAGUCACAAGUUAGAUUGUACGGGAUGCUCGAAUAAGUAAUUAGCAAACAUAGUUUAUGUUUCCAUUUUGCAGAUGAGAUCUAUUGAUGUAUUAUUGUAAGAUUGUCACGUUUAAAGGGACUUCGAGUAAAUUAAGACGUUUUUAAAUGAAAGAAAUUUUAUG